GCACUGCUGAAGAGUCCCACAAUAGGAUGAAACGACCGUCCAGAGC
This is a non-coding RNA of Schistosoma mattheei, 46 nucleotides long. The record is from Rfam. NCBI's taxonomy places the organism in Eukaryota, Metazoa, Platyhelminthes, Trematoda, Strigeidida, Schistosomatidae.